CCUGGGGACCUUGGUUCUGCCAAGGGUCCAUUUGGAUAUUUAUAACAUCGUCUCCCAGGCGUACAAAAUGACCAGCUUACAAGUUAGCCUGCUAUGGAUAUAUUGGCCUGUGGUUGCCUUGGCAGCACCAGUCCCGGUGGUUUCGCCGGCCUCAUACAUCCUGCCUCCAGCAUGGUCCUCACCCUUCACUGGGAAGCAGAGACGCGGAGAUGGGCGUCACCUGCCUGCCCGUCGAGGGAGCCUGCAGGAGACUCUGAGCUCCAUGGGAGCAGGGACCCUGUGUGAUGUUGGCUGCUGGAUCCCAGUGCCCAGAAGGUUCUCUGGCACAUACAGUUUCAGCUAAAAAGUCCUUUCCUCAGGUUGGCCAUCCCUGCAAAAGCCUUCCUCCCUUGGCCUGGCUCCCAGCUGCAUCCGGGGGUUCCUCCGCUGGACGUCUGUCUCCCCAGGCUGUCUGCCGGUCCUGCCUGGGCACGGGCUUUGUCUAGUGCGUGCAGAUCCAGGUGUACCACUGCACCUGGCGCACAGUCAGCUCACACUUGCUGCGCACAGCAGACCCGUGUGUCCACUCAUCCACCCACCCGCCUACUGCCUGUCCAUCCGCCCAGCCGACUGCCCGCCAACCGACCCCCUCGCGCCCUCUCUUAGGGAAAGGGAGAUUUGUUGGCUUGUCCCACUCCUUCAUCCAUCUGUUGGCGUAGCCAGCCCUCUCUACCCAUGUGUUGCUUGCUUUGCUGUCCGCCCACCCAUUCAGCCACCCUCCAUCCACUCACCCAUACAUCCGCCUGUCCAUCCAUUCAUUAAUCCGG
This is a long non-coding RNA of Lepus europaeus (European hare), 806 nucleotides long. RefSeq lists it as uncharacterized. Lineage: Eukaryota; Metazoa; Chordata; Mammalia; Lagomorpha; Leporidae. The transcript has 3 exons. The record is from RefSeq and is a predicted model, not a curated record.